UUAUAACAUAAAUAUACAAAUAGCAUUGUCAGCUAGGUACAGACUGACUCUUUAUGCACAUCAUUACUAACCUUCAAUUAAGUCAGAACCAUCAUUUAUUGCUAAAGGAUGAAAAAUUGAAAAUUCGUGAAACUUAAACAAAAGCAAAAUCAGUAGAGUAUUCAUAUGUCCCGUGACAACCAAAAAUUGAUCUCAGCUAGAUUGAAGUCUGAUACUCUACUGUUGUUCCUUUCUCCGCAGCCUUGAGCUUCUCCUCUUCUUCUAUGUCAUCCACAUGGCCUUCAUCUCCUCCUUGAAUUGAUCCCACCGCCAGGAGUCCGUCUCGAGCGUUACCUCCAUCACCCGAGCUCCUCAUUUAUCUUUCCUUUCCUUUCUUGGUCUGCUUCCUCUUCCCCUGCACUGCUCCCAAAAACCAAUAAGCCUAACCCUAGAAAUUCAGAAGUUCAUGGAGGAGGAUAGGGGAAGACAAGGAGGAGGGUGGUCUUAUACCGCCGACAGUGGAGAGGGACGCCGGAGAAGAUCGCUGUCACUGCCGAGCU
RNAcentral lists this long non-coding RNA (539 nucleotides) under Triticum aestivum (bread wheat). RNAcentral's name for it is "long non-coding RNA (TAES_LNC008876)". Lineage: Eukaryota; Viridiplantae; Streptophyta; Magnoliopsida; Poales; Poaceae. The record is from RNAcentral.